RNAcentral lists this ribosomal RNA (121 nucleotides) under Pogona vitticeps (central bearded dragon). Lineage: Eukaryota; Metazoa; Chordata; Lepidosauria; Squamata; Agamidae. The record is from RNAcentral.
GCCUACAAGCAUGCCUUGGGGCAAACUACUUUAAACACUUCUGACUUUAGAAGCUAAGCAGGGUUGGACCUGGUGAAUACUUGGAUGAGUUCCCAUGUGGGAAUACCUAGCUUUGUGAUGA